RNAcentral lists this unclassified non-coding RNA (225 nucleotides) under Hevea brasiliensis (rubber tree). Lineage: Eukaryota; Viridiplantae; Streptophyta; Magnoliopsida; Malpighiales; Euphorbiaceae. The record is from RNAcentral.
GAUCAGUAUUGCGAACAGUAUCGGCGUGAUAUCAUCGCCGGCGCCGGCGUCGGCGGCUGCUCGUCUUGCCUGUUCUAUGACGGUAUUCUCUAGUGCUGAUGUCAAAUCGUCCUAUUCCUCGUCCGUUUGUUCUCUAUCGUCAGUUGUUGUUAAUCCUUUCAACUGCUCGAUUAGAAGAGGGAGAAGAUUGUUUAACGAGGUUCCAGUUAGAUCAGAUUCCGGAAC